ACAGCAGCAGCUGCGGUAAUACAGAGGGUGCGAGCGUUAAUCGGAUUUACUGGGCGUAAAGCGUGCGUAGGCGGCUUUUUAAGUCGGAUGUGAAAUCCCUGAGCUUAACUUAGGAAUUGCAUUCGAUACUGGGAAGCUAGAGUAUGGGAGAGGAUGGUAGAAUUCCAGGUGUAGCGGUGAAAUGCGUAGAGAUCUGGAGGAAUACCGAUGGCGAAGGCAGCCAUCUGGCCUAAUACUGACGCUGAGGUACGAAAGCAUGGGGAGCAAACAGGAUUAGAUACCCCCGUAGUCCCUGUCUCUUAUAA
This 305-nucleotide ribosomal RNA is filed under the name uncultured bacterium. Its description in RNAcentral is "partial 16S ribosomal RNA". It matches the Rfam family "Bacterial small subunit ribosomal RNA", at positions 505 to 809 of the family's 1533-position model. The record is from RNAcentral.